UUUCUCUUGCGAUGGGGACCAAUGUUCUUGAAGUUAUCUGAAACUCUGUCUUUGUCCUCCAUCUUCUGUCCAAUCUCUUCAAAGUUUUGUUAAACUUUCUACCAACAAAAGCUAUAACAUCUGAUAGACUUUCUUCAGGAUCACAUUGAUCUUCAUCCUCUUCAGUGUUGGAUACAAAGUCAAUACUCUUAUUUUUCUUUUCAGUUUUAUCAUUUAUUUUCAUCUCAAAGAUUUGCAAGGAUCCAAUGAGUUCAUCCACUUUGAUGAUGCUAAUUUCUUGGGCUUCUUCAAUAUUUGUGAUCUUUAUAUUAAAUCUUUUAGGUAGGGAUCUUAUUAUCUUUUUGACUAUUUUUUCUUCAGACAUAUUCUCUCCUAAAGCAAAAAAAG
Molecule: long non-coding RNA, 387 nt
Filed under: Lathyrus oleraceus (garden pea)
Lineage: Eukaryota; Viridiplantae; Streptophyta; Magnoliopsida; Fabales; Fabaceae
Description: Pisum sativum (pea) long non-coding RNA (PSAT_LNC034422)
Source: RNAcentral